CGUAAAGCGUCCGCAGGCGGCUUUUCAAGUCUGCUGUUAAAACGUGGAGCUUAACUCCAUCAUGGCAGUGGAAACUGAAAGGCUUGAGUAUGGUAGGGGCAGAGGGAAUUCCCGGUGUAGCGGUGAAAUGCGUAGAUAUCGCGGAAGAACACCAGUGGCGAAGGCGCUCUGCUGGGCCAUUACUGACGCUCAUGGACGAAAGCCAGGGGAGCGAAAGGGAUUAGAUACCCCUGUAGUCCUGGCCGUAAACGAUGAACACUAGGUGUCGGGGGAAUCGACCCCUUCGGUGUCGUAGCUAACGCGUUAAGUGUUCCGCCUGGGGAGUACGCACGCAAGUGUGAAACUCAAAGGAAUUGACGGGGGCCCGCACAAGCGGUGGAGUAUGUGGUUUAAUUCGAUGCAACGCGAAGAACCUUACCAGGGUUUGACAUCCUGCGAACCUCUUAGAAAUUUGAGGGUGCCUUCGGGAAUGCAGUGACAGGUGGUGCAUGGCUGUCGUCAGCUCGUGUCGUGAGAUGUUGGGUUAAGUCCCGCAACGAGCGCAACCCACGUUUUUAGUUGCCAGCAUUUAGUUGGGCACUCUAGAAAGACCGCCGGUGAUAAACCGGAGGAAGGUGUGGAUGACGUCAAGUCAUCAUGCCCCUUACACCCUGGGCUACACACGUACUACAAUGCUACGGACAAAGGGCAGCAAACUCGCGAGAGCUAGCAAAUCCCAUAAAACCGUGGCUCAGUUCAGAUCGUAGGCUGCAACUCGCCUACGUGAAGUAUGAAUCGCUAGUAAUCGCAGGUCAGCAUACUGCGGUGAAUACGUUCCCGGGCCUU
Molecule: ribosomal RNA, 825 nt
Filed under: marine metagenome
Description: bacterial SSU rRNA
Rfam family: Bacterial small subunit ribosomal RNA
Source: RNAcentral